GUCACCAUGGCCUGGAUCCCUCUCCUGCUCCCCCUCCUCACUCUCUGCACAGGUUCUGUGUUUUGCUAUGAGCUGACACAGCUGUCCUCGGUGUCAGUGUCCCUAGGACAGACAGCAAGGAUCACCUGUUCCGGUGAUAAACUUGACAAAAAAUAUAUCUACUGGUACCAGCAGAAAGCAGGCCAGGCCCCUGUGCUGGUGAUAUAUGAAGAUAGUAAGCGGCCAUCAGGGAUCCCUGAGCGGUUCUCAGGCUCCAACUCAGGGAACACGGCCACCCUGACCAUCAGCGGGGCCCAGGCUGGGGACGAGGCUGACUAUUACUGUCAGGUGUGGGACAGCAACACUGCUCACAGUGACACAGGCAGAUGGGGAAGAAGCCCCGCCUUCUGCACAGGACCUCAGUGUGAGCCCAGGGAGAGUCGCUGGAGCAGGAGAGACGAGGCCAUGGUGUGGGCCAGCUGCUGGUGGAUUUCCCACCCCGAAUCUCAGCUGCCCAUCACCCACCUGGCCUGUGUGCACCUCGAAUAUGUGGGUCAAGUGGGCCAGAGGGCCGGAGAUGCUGAUGGUGACAGUGAUGAGGAGGAUGUGAGUGCACAGCUGAGCUCUAGUGGCAGGAACUUCCGGGCUCCCAGUGACCUGCAGCUGCUCUAA
Molecule: non-coding RNA, 651 nt
Organism: Nycticebus coucang (slow loris)
Lineage: Eukaryota; Metazoa; Chordata; Mammalia; Primates; Lorisidae
Source: the annotation of a RefSeq genome assembly